RNAcentral lists this ribosomal RNA (625 nucleotides) under Hepatozoon canis. RNAcentral describes it as "bacterial SSU rRNA". It matches the Rfam family "Eukaryotic small subunit ribosomal RNA", at positions 188 to 801 of the family's 1831-position model. Lineage: Eukaryota; Apicomplexa; Hepatozoidae. The record is from RNAcentral.
UUUAUUAGAAGAGACGCAUUUAUUAGAUAAAAAGCCAAUGCAUGCUUUUACAGUAUGGAAAUUGGUGAUUUAUAAUAACUUAGCAAAUCGCAAAGUGAAAACAGGCGAUAAAUCAUUCAAGUUUCUGACCUAUCAGCUUUCGACGGUAUGGUAUUGGCUUACCGUGGCAGUGACGGUUAACGGGGGAUUAGGGUUCGAUUCCGGAGAGGGAGCCUGAGAAACGGCUACCACAUCUAAGGAAGGCAGCAGGCGCGCAAAUUACCCAAUUCUAACAGUUUGAGAGAGGUAGUAACAAGAAAUAACAAUACAAGGCAAUUAAAAUGCUUUGUAAUUGGAAUGAUAGAAAUUUAAACCCUUUUUAAAGUAUCAAUUGGAGGGCAAGUCUGGUGCCAGCAGCCGCGGUAAUUCCAGCUCCAAUAGCGUAUAUUAAAAUUGUUGCAGUUAAAAAGCUCGUAGUUGAAGUUCUGCUAAAAGUAACCGGUCUGCUUUUAAUAAAAGUGGUAUCUUGGUGUGUAUUUAGCAAUGAUGUCCUUUGAAGUGUUUUUUACUUUAUUGUAAUAAAGCAUAUUCAGGACUUUUACUUUGAGAAAAUUAGAGUGUUUCUAGCAGGCCGACGCUUUGAAUA